GAUGAACGCUGGCGGCGUGCCUAAUACAUGCCAGUCGAGCGAACAGACGAGGAGCUUGCUCCUCUGACGUUAGCGGCGGACGGGUGAGUAACACGUGGAUAACCUACCUAUAAGACUGGGAUAACUUCGGGAAACCGGAGCUAAUACCGGAUAACAUGUUGAACCGCAUGGUUUAACAGUGAAGGACGGUCUUGCUGUCACUUAUAGAUGGAUCCGCGCCGCAUUAGCUAGUUGGUAAGGUAACGGCUUACCAAGGCAACGAUGCGUAGCCGACCUGAGAGGGUGAUCGGCCACACUGGAACUGAGACACGGUCCAGACUCCUACGGGAGGCAGCAGUAGGGAAUCUUCCGCAAUGGGCGAAAGCCUGACGGAGCAACGCCGCGUGAGUGAAGAAGGUCUUCGGAUCGUAAAACUCUGUUAUUAGGGAAGAACAAAUGUGUAAAUAACUAUGCACGUCUUGACGGUACCUAAUCAGAAAGCCACGGCUAACUACGUG
RNAcentral lists this ribosomal RNA (497 nucleotides) under uncultured bacterium. Its description in RNAcentral is "partial 16S ribosomal RNA". It matches the Rfam family "Bacterial small subunit ribosomal RNA", at positions 28 to 507 of the family's 1533-position model. The record is from RNAcentral.